GUUCUACUCAACAGCUCGACGCUGCUCCGCUAAACGCAAUAUGUAUGAAUGCCCUGACUUCUGCAGAGGCCGUAUCACCAUAAAUGCUUCAGUGCCAAUGCAGACGCCAGAUUAACCAUGUAUCCUUUUAGGCUGUGACAACGAAAAGGUAGCAGACAGAUCUACAGUAUGUUUUAGCAUGGUUGUGACAACGAAAAGGUAGCAGACAGAUCUACAGUAUGUUUUAGCAUGGCUGUGACAACGAAAAGGCAGCAGACAGAUCUGCAGUAUAUUUUAGCAUGGAAGUUUGGUAGGGUGACCGGAUUUGUAACUGAAAAUAAUUUAGCAAACAGACUGUGAACCGAAAAGUGUAUGUUUGAUUCUAGAGGGGGACAAUAAAUAAUUUGGUUAGGGUGUAGAGGCAGAUAUGUCAUCUUGUUUUCAGGAGAUUUUAUUAUCUAUUUACAUGAUUUAGUCUGAUCAGUGGAAC
Molecule: long non-coding RNA, 469 nt
Organism: Oncorhynchus tshawytscha (Chinook salmon)
Lineage: Eukaryota; Metazoa; Chordata; Actinopteri; Salmoniformes; Salmonidae
Source: Ensembl